RNAcentral lists this ribosomal RNA (304 nucleotides) under uncultured bacterium. RNAcentral describes it as "partial 16S ribosomal RNA". It matches the Rfam family "Bacterial small subunit ribosomal RNA", at positions 506 to 807 of the family's 1533-position model. The record is from RNAcentral.
CAGCAGUCGCCACGGUAAAACGGAGGGUGCAAGCGUUAAUCGGAAUUACUGGGCGUAAAGCGCACGCAGGCGGUCUGACAAGUCAGAUGUGAAAUCCCCGGGCUUAACCUGGGAACUGCAUUUGAAACUGUCAGGCUGGAGUCUUGUAGAGGGGGGUGGAAUUCCAGGUGUAGCGGUGAAAUGCGUAGAGAUCUGGAGGAAUACCGGUGGCGAAGGCGGCCCCCUGGACAAAGACUGACGCUCAGGUGCGAAAGCGUGGGGAGCAAACAGGAUUAGAUACCCCUGUAGUCCCUGUCUCUUAUAC